UUAAUUAAUUUUCUCUGUGGUUUGCUUGGUAAAAGGCUUCUCUCCUAAGGUAAGGCAGCUGUGACUACACACAGAAGUAUAAGAAAAGCCAUAAGAUAGAGGCUAAGAGUUUGAAACCAGGUUACCACCUACACUGAGGCCAAACUUUCAGUUAUGUUGACUGCACAUAAAUGCUGCUGAAAUUAGAAGGAUCUGAAGAUGACUGGAAAUUGGUCUUUAUAGCCUUGAUGGGGGAGAGAGUGCCAGGCUAUAUGCCCCAGCAAACUCCCUCCUGCAAUGAUGGAGGCCAUGAGCAGUAACCACCGACAGCAAGUUUGCUGCAUCUGAGGUGAAAUGAGGUCAGCUUUUGCAGAGAAACUGGGCUGUCACAGCCAAGGACCUGACCAUUAUCUUUUUAUUUCACGUUUUUACAUCUCCCAGACUGUAGCUCACAGGCAAGCUGAACCAAUACAUCAGAACGAGACAGGUGAGAUACUAUUAUAAUGCUAAGUAUUAAAAACUAUCUCUGCACUGAUUAUGGAGAAAAAAGCUGCUGCCGUAUAAUGGUAACUGUUGAUUCAAUGGCUAUGGAAGUGCAGGGUGUAGAGGGCAAAAGCUUCUUUAUUCAAAGGGAAAUUAUGCUUCAAAACUGGCUUUAUUCCAGCACUGUCGAUAGACCAGUUCUCUCUCCUUCCCCCUCUUUCUAUAUAAUCUCAGUUACUUACAACAUUAAAGGUCUUUAGAAGCUUCUUUCUGCAACAGAGCCCUGCUUCUGCCCCUCAUCACCCCGGUGAAUGACAAUUUGAAAGAAAACCAGAAGCCUUGCUACGGAUUUACAAGUUUCUCAGAGCAAAUCACUGGAUGCCAAAGAAGCUGCCAGGCUACUGCAACUUGCUAGCAGUUAUAAUCAGCGAACAAAGGAGUCAGAGGCAGCACCAAGGGGGAACCUUUUGUGAAAAAUAUUGACCAGCAAAUUACACUGUAGACAGUGCUUUGGCACUUGGCUGUCUAAAGGUGACUCAAACGAUUCGUUUAGCUCAGCGAGCUGGUUUCUAAUUACACCAAAUGCCUGACUGUUGUCAGUGGGCCCAGUAUUUUGUGAGCGGGUGCUCUUCGCAUGUGUCAUUCAUUACCUCACACUGUACCAAGAGCCAUCUCUGCAGGGAGAAUAGUUGGCAAUGCCAUUCGCUUGGAUAAUUUCUUCAGAUAGUGGAUUGCAACAAAACCCUCAAAACAAUCCCCUUCUACCCUUCCAAAAAAAAUUUAAAAAAUAAAAAAAAAAAGAGAGAGAAAGAAAGAAAAGAAAGAAAAUCCUACCAAAACAAACAAACAAACAAAAAACAGCAGAGCCCCCAGCCACCACAUGCUAAUUUCAGUAAAUGCCCUGGAAUGAAAUGGUGGCAAGUUGCUGUCUGGGGUUUACAAGUUGAACACAGUUUACCCUUCCUGGGUUUUAGCUGGACUCCUGCUCUGGUGCCAGAGUAACAGCUGUAGCAGCUGCACUUGCAUUUUGCCACCCAGUACAGGCACCUGCUGUGACCAAGGAAGUGAAAACCCACAGAGAUGCAAUUUUCUUUUAAUUACAUUAGCCUGGUUUUGGCAGUCAGCCAUACAACAGAGUAUUGGUGGGGAUGUGGACUCUAUUCACAAUUAGAGCCUGUCUGGGGGUUACUUUAGACACGUGGCAGGGAGAAACUGGGCAGGAUCCAUAUUAGUGCUGAUUCCUGUUUUGGAGAAAUAAUCAAGAUUGACAUGAUUUUUGUUAUGUGGUGGUAACUAAAUUGAACUCUUAGAUCAGCUUUAUACACUUUAGAGACUGUCUGGGUCAUAGCAGUUAUUUACAUGCCACUGAAAUAUCCAGGGUCAGGCCAUGGGUCUAAGGAGUACCUGAAAAUCACCCGUGCUCUUUAAUUGCUAUUUUGACCCGAACGAUGCUGCCCCAGACAUGCCUGAGCGCAGUCUGAGGGACAGCAUGGGUGAGGCUGCUCCCAGACAGCCUGUUCCCAAUAAGCUCUACAGAUGAGGACAUCAUAUUUUGGAGGGAGAGAAAGUUGAGGCAUGCAGACACGAGCCAUGUGGUGCCAAUUCUCCCCAGGGCCAGAGCAGGCUCUGGCCUGUUUCAUUUAUUCCUACAGAGACAGCCAGCUCCACCUGACUGUCCCUGGGUGCUGUGGAGAAGGAGGUGGGCUCUGGCUGUUUUCCACAGGAGGAAGAAGCUGUUCUUUGUUCCCAACAUGCUCAGUGGCUAAAAUUAUCUUUUCUGUAGCAGGUGCAUUCAAGGUCUUUAUGCUAGGAUGGUCACAGUGAGGAAUAACAUACCAUUUCUUACAGCUUACAUUAACUUCGUUUUGCCAACUUGCAGAAUGUAUUGAGGAAAUAUCAUGACCCAACAACAACGCUCAGGCAACGCUUGUUCACUGUCCAUUUAGCUUCAGAUGCUGUCACUACUUGAAUUAAGGUCCGUUUUCACCUUAGGCAACCUCUUACUGCUUUUAACCUUCUGAGCACCAUUGCAGGAAGUGAGCCAUGAUGCAAAGCAGAACUUUGGAUCUCCAUUUUGCCUGUCUACAUCAGAAAAGAUGCCUCAGAAGCUGGCAAAAAGCUCACGCUUGUAAGACACUCACUGUGCUCACCUUGGCAAGGGGACGUAAGUGGGGAAGACCCUAUGCACCUUCCUCUGCCCUAGCAAAGUGUCUGCAAGAGACAAGCAAUGCAUCCCUUGUUGUAUCACCCAGACUUGGUCCCUGGGCCACCUGUGUAAGUGCAAUGAGCAAUGCUCCUGGUAUGCAAAAGCUGCCACAAAAACCCUUCACAGGUGCCUGACUUUGAAUUCCCAGGGCGAUGCGCCACAAAACAGAUGAGUCUCAGCACACUCUUUCUGUUCACAGGCCUGGCAAGCCCCUGGAUCCUGUAGGAGACAAGACAAGGAGCACUCUGUGGACUCACGUAUGCCAGAACGAGAGCCAUCAAUCUCUCUGCCUCUGCACUAUUAGAAAGGAGCUGGCACUGAAAACAGAGCAAAUGACAUAGUGCAAGUUGUUUCCUCCAUGGCAGGGCUGUAGUGCAGACCAGAGACCGUGCAGAGUGUCAACACAAACGUCUGCAGGAUGCUGAAAGACUCAGUCAUCAGAGGAGGAUGAGAUCUGGGCUGAGUGUUAACAGCAGGGUGCUUGGUCACAAGGAACAAAGGUGGAAAGAGAAGACACAGAAAAAGCUUCUCUGUCCUGGCCAAUCAACUGGAUGAAACAUUUGCUGAAAAACAGGUCUCAUGGUUUCUUUAGUAAGGCUGUAAUCAUGCUUCUGUUUCUGAAGAGCUUUAUUCCCAACAAGUGACAGGAUUGCAUAGCGCUGUGAACAGCACUCGGGACUGUCUGGAACAUGUAAAGUGUUGCUUUGGGGAGGGGUGUGCAUGUGUUUGAAUAAAAUUUUCCAGUUAAAAA
This is a long non-coding RNA of Oxyura jamaicensis (ruddy duck), 3419 nucleotides long. RefSeq lists it as uncharacterized. The record is from RefSeq and is a predicted model, not a curated record. The transcript is spliced from 3 exons. NCBI's taxonomy places the organism in Eukaryota, Metazoa, Chordata, Aves, Anseriformes, Anatidae.